RNAcentral lists this ribosomal RNA (332 nucleotides) under uncultured bacterium. RNAcentral's name for it is "bacterial SSU rRNA". It matches the Rfam family "Bacterial small subunit ribosomal RNA", at positions 568 to 898 of the family's 1533-position model. The record is from RNAcentral.
CGCGUAGGCGGCCCUGUAAGUCCGCUGUGAAAGUCAAAGGCUCAACCUUUGAAAGCCGGUGGAUACUGCAGGGCUGGAGUCCGGAAGAGGCGAGUGGAAUUCCUGGUGUAGCGGUGGAAUGCGCAGAUAUCAGGAGGAACACCGAUAGCGAAGGCAGCUCGCUGGGACGGUACUGACGCUGAGGCGCGAAAGCGUGGGGAGCGAACAGGAUUAGAUACCCUGGUAGUCCACGCCGUAAACGAUGGGCACUAGGUGUGGGAGGUGUCGACUCCUCCCGUGCCGUCGCUAACGCACUAAGUGCCCCGCCUGGGGAGUACGGCCGCAAGGCUAAA